UAGAGUUAUUACAACUCCCAACCCUAUGUGAACAUACCUAUCGUUGCCUCGGCGGCGCGGUCCGGCCCUGCUACCCCGAAGCGCUUACCCUGUAGGCGCUACCCGGUGGCCAGGGUAGGCCCGCCCGCCGGCGGCCCACGAAACUCUGUUUUAGCAGUUCUUCUGAAUCAUAAACUUAAUAAGUUA
Molecule: unclassified non-coding RNA, 186 nt
Filed under: uncultured fungus
Lineage: Eukaryota; Fungi
Description: sequence contains ITS1, 5.8S rRNA gene
Source: RNAcentral